GUGAGGAAUAUUGCGCAAUGGAGGCAACUCUGACGCAGCCAUGCCGCGUGCAGGAAGAAGGCGCUACGCGUUGUAAACUGCUUUUAACCGGGAAGAAACCCCAGGACGUGUCCUGGGUUGACGGUACCGGAGGAAUAAGCACCGGCUAACUUCGUGCCAGCAGCCGCGGUAAUACGAAGGGUGCAAGCGUUAUCCGGAUUCAUUGGGUUUAAAGGGUGCGUAGGCGGUGCGUUAAGUCAGUGGUGAAAUCCUGCAGCUUAACUGUAGACUUGCCAUUGAUACUGGCGCUCUUGAGUGCGCUUGAAGUGGGCGGAAUGUGCCGUGUAGCGGUGAAAUGCUUAGAUAUGGCACAGAACACCAAUUGCGAAGGCAGCUCACUAAGGCGAUACUGACGCUGAGGCACGAAAGCGUGGGGAUCGAACAGGAUUAGAAACCCCGGUAGUCC
Molecule: ribosomal RNA, 445 nt
Filed under: uncultured bacterium
Lineage: Bacteria
Description: partial 16S ribosomal RNA
Rfam family: Bacterial small subunit ribosomal RNA
Source: RNAcentral